RNAcentral lists this ribosomal RNA (497 nucleotides) under uncultured bacterium. RNAcentral's name for it is "partial 16S ribosomal RNA". It matches the Rfam family "Bacterial small subunit ribosomal RNA", at positions 28 to 507 of the family's 1533-position model. The record is from RNAcentral.
GAUGAACGCUGGCGGCGUGCCUAAUACAUGCAAGUCGAGCGAACAGACGAGGAGCUUGCUCCUCUGACGUUAACGGCGGACGGGUGAGUAACACGUGGAUAACCUACCUAUAAGACUGGGAUAACUUCGGGAAACCGGAGCUAAUACCGGAUAAUAUAUUGAACCGCAUGGCUCAAUAGUGAAAGACGGUUUUGCUGUCACUUAUAGAUGGAUCCGCGCCGCAUUAGCUAGUUGGUAAGGUAACGGCUUACCAAGGCAACGAUGCGUAGCCGACCUGAGAGGGUGAUCGGCCACACUGGAACUGAGACACGGUCCAGACUCCUACGGGAGGCAGCAGUAGGGAAUCUUCCGCAAUGGGCGAAAGCUUGACGGAGCAACGCCGCGUGAGUGAUGAAGGUCUUCGGAUCGUAAAACUCUGUUAUUAGGGAAGAACAAAUGUGUAAGUAACUAUGCACGUCUUGACGGUACCUAAUCAGAAAGCCACGGCUAACUACGUG